RNAcentral lists this ribosomal RNA (497 nucleotides) under uncultured bacterium. RNAcentral describes it as "partial 16S ribosomal RNA". It matches the Rfam family "Bacterial small subunit ribosomal RNA", at positions 28 to 507 of the family's 1533-position model. The record is from RNAcentral.
GAUGAACGCUGGCGGCGUGCCUAAUACAUGCAAGUCGAGCGAACAGACGAGGAGCUUGCUCCUCUGACGUUAGUGGCGGACGGGUGAGUAACACGUGGAUAACCUACCUAUCAGACUGGGAUAACUUCGGGAAACCGGCGCUAAUACCGGAUAAUAUAUUGAACCGCAUGGUUCAAUAGUGAAAGACGGUUUUGCUGUCACUUAUAGCUGGAUCCGCGCCGCAUUAGCUAGUUGGUAAGGUAACGGCUUACCAAGGCAACGAUGCGUAGCCGACCUGAGAGGGUGAUCGGCCACACUGGAACUGAGACACGGUCCAGACUCCUACGGGAGGCAGCAGUAGGGAAUCUUCCGCAAUGGGCGAAAGCCUGACGGAGCAACGCCGCGUGAGUGAUGAAGGUCUUCGGAUCGUAAAACUCUGUUAUUAGGGAAGAACAAAUGUGUAAGUAACUAUGCACGUCUUGACGGUACCUAAUCAGAAAGCCACGGCUAACUACGUG